UGCGGGGUGGAGCAGUUUGGUAGCUCGUCGGGCUCAUAACCCGAAGGUCGUAGGUUCGAAUCCUACCCCCGCUA
RNAcentral lists this transfer RNA (74 nucleotides) under Coxiella-like endosymbiont. Its description in RNAcentral is "tRNA-Met". It matches the Rfam family "tRNA". From Rfam's summary of the family: Transfer RNA (tRNA) molecules are approximately 80 nucleotides in length. Their secondary structure includes four short double-helical elements and three loops (D, anti-codon, and T loops). The record is from RNAcentral. Lineage: Bacteria; Pseudomonadati; Pseudomonadota; Gammaproteobacteria; Legionellales; Coxiellaceae.